This 560-nucleotide small RNA is filed under the name Pan troglodytes (chimpanzee). Its description in RNAcentral is "processed transcript". Lineage: Eukaryota; Metazoa; Chordata; Mammalia; Primates; Hominidae. The record is from RNAcentral.
ACACACACACACACACCCCCCAACACACACUCCCUGUCCCCUUUCUCCACCCUGCAAGCUAGUUGCAUUUAGCUCACAGAGCCUGGGCUGCGACUUGAAAGAGUUUAGGCAGCAACAGAGUGACCCUGGGGGUGCUCUUGACCGACAGCCGCACCCCCGGCGUCUAGGACCUCCGAGCAGGGAUGCAUCUGGAGGUCUAGGGAAGCACUUCCACCCCCUCCUCUCCUCAACCCUGGCAGGAUGUGCCCGAAAUGCCAGCUCCUCCUUGGUGUUCUCCUUUCAGGAUUUGAAUUCAAAUCCCAUUGGCAGCCCUGAUACCGCUGGGGGAAGGGUGAGGUAGGAAAAGUCCCACCAAUAUCCUAAGGGGAGGUGCGAGUGGCUACCAGGAUGUGAGAUGUCUGUGGGCAAAGUCCCUGCUUAUUCCAUGAGGGGCUGUGGGAUUAGGACUGUGGCUGGAUGCCUCUUCCUCCAACAACUCCAUCUCAGCAUGAAGCUGAGGCUUUAAAACCCUGACAAACUGUGGGUGACUGUCUCUACUUAAUUCCUCCUCCCAAACUCUU